GGUUGUCGUGGUAAUACUAUGAAAGUGUAGAUGGAUCACCAUAUAAGUUCAAAGAUGAAAAAGCCUGGAAGGAGGAGAAAUGACUGGAAACGAUUCGGUUGGCCGUUUUAUGUGUGGAUUAAUUGUCGGAGUAGAGGACCUUGUGCAUUUCAGAGGACCUGAGCUGUAGGACCAUGCCUCAGGACUACCUGGCCUGAUGACUCCUUGUUGUCCCCAGUCUACCCGGUGGUGCUGCUGCCCCAGUUUCAACUCUUCUGCCUGCGGCUAUGGAACCCUGACCUGUUCCCCGGACAUGCUACCUUGUCCCGGACCUGCUGUUUCGACUCUCUCUUUCUACCGCACCUGCUGUAUCUGACUCUGAAUGAUUGGCUAUGAAAAGCCAACUGGCAUUUACUCCUGUGGUGCUGACUGUAGCACCCUCUACAACCACUGUGAUUAUUAUUAUUUGACCCUGCUGGUCAUCUAUGAACGUUUGAACAUCUUGGCCAUCUACUAUUAUAAUCUCUACCCGGCAUAGCUAGAAGAGGACUGGCCACCCCUCAGAGCCUGGUUCCUCUCUAGGUUUCUUCCUAGGUUCCUGCCUUUCUAGGGAAUUUUAUUUGUGUCCCUGUCUUUGUCAAAGUGGGCACUGCUUAUCACAGGGCGGCAUCAGCUCUCACCUAAAAAGCUCAUAUGCCACUGGUUGAAAGAAAUUGUCAUUGUUUUUGGGCAGAAUUAUGUGAUGUUUUAUGUGUUGUUGGUGUGUCUUGGUCAGUUUAGCUCAGAAAAUGUUGUCCUGCCUAAUUAUUUGGCCCGGCCCUGCACUGACAGGCAGCGCACUGCCAAUGACAGAUCUGUUUCGUUGUGUGAAUAAAUAAAUUAAUACAUUUCUCUUUA
This 876-nucleotide long non-coding RNA is filed under the name Salmo salar (Atlantic salmon). RNAcentral's name for it is "lncRNA (ENSSSAG00000120172.1)". The record is from RNAcentral. Lineage: Eukaryota; Metazoa; Chordata; Actinopteri; Salmoniformes; Salmonidae.